This 635-nucleotide ribosomal RNA is filed under the name Cerioporus varius. RNAcentral's name for it is "partial 28S large subunit ribosomal RNA". It matches the Rfam family "Eukaryotic large subunit ribosomal RNA", at positions 43 to 657 of the family's 3401-position model. The record is from RNAcentral. Lineage: Eukaryota; Fungi; Basidiomycota; Agaricomycetes; Polyporales; Polyporaceae.
UCAAUAAGCGGAGGAAAAGAAACUAACAAGGAUUCCCCUAGUAACUGCGAGUGAAGCGGGAAAAGCUCAAAUUUAAAAUCUGGCAGCCUCUGGUUGUCCGAGUUGUAGUCUGGAGAAGUGCUUUCCGCGCUGGACCGUGUAUAAGUCUCUUGGAAUAGAGCGUCAUAGAGGGUGAGAAUCCCGUCUUUGACACGGACUACCAGUGCUUUGUGAUGCGCUUUCAAAGAGUCGAGUUGUUUGGGAAUGCAGCUCAAAAUGGGUGGUAAAUUCCAUCUAAAGCUAAAUAUUGGCGAGAGACCGAUAGCGAACAAGUACCGUGAGGGAAAGAUGAAAAGCACUUUGGAAAGAGAGUUAAACAGUACGUGAAAUUGCUGAAAGGGAAACGCUUGAAGUCAGUCGCGUCGUUUGGAACUCAGCCUUGCUUUUGCUUGGUGCACUUUCUGAAUGACGGGCCAGCAUCAAUUUUGACCGUUGGAGAAGGGUGGGAGGAAUGUGGCACUCUUCGGGGUGUGUUAUAGCCUCUUACCGCAUGCAACGGUUGGGAUUGAGGACCGCAGCGCGCCGCAAGGCAGGGGAAUGUUUCCCACUUUCGCGCUUAGGAUGCUGGCAUAAUGGCUUUAAGCGACCCGUCUUGA